This 522-nucleotide unclassified non-coding RNA is filed under the name Bombus terrestris (buff-tailed bumblebee). RNAcentral's name for it is "misc RNA ENSBTSG00005030187.1". Lineage: Eukaryota; Metazoa; Arthropoda; Insecta; Hymenoptera; Apidae. The record is from RNAcentral.
GUAAGGUAUAAUUAUCGUCGACGGACCCGCUCCGUCCUGGCUUCCGCUGCAGUCCGCGCAGAGUUAAUGAUUAAACGUGAAAGCAAUGUCAAAUUUAUCGCUUCGGUUACAGUUUCGUUUAAAUGAAGUUAAUUAACUCGAGAAUCUAGUUAAAUAAAGACUUACGAACCUGAGUUUCGUCUACGUAGACUGGAGCCUCUGGACUGGCCGAUGUGCGGCCAUAAAUGUUCGACAGAGUCUGGUUCACCGGGAAGUCUGGACCACCCUGCAAUAACCAUAUGAUCUAAAAACAUCUUUACAUGUCCUGUCAACGAGAAAACGAUACGUACUUCCGGUUGGAGCACAGCUCUAAAUUUAUCUUGGCGAAAGUUUCCUGGCCGACGGUGGUGCCUUCAUUUCGAUGCAUUCGAAGAGUUCCCCGGUCUCGAGAUUUCAAACAGAAGCGCGCGUACGUUUGCCGAAGACUCGAGACUCGGUCUCAUCUUCGGAUAAACGAACUCGACGCACAAGUGCCUUUUCAAU